UGUGAGUUCGUGGUCUAGUGGUUAAGACCGAUGGCUACAGUGCUGAAGGUCCCGAGUUCGAUUCUCACUCGGGGUGCUAAAAAUAUCAGUACAUCAGAAGGGUAAUUUUCACCCUCUCACACACAUCUCUGGUACCCACACCGGAGUUUAAACUAGAAUGGGUACUUUGGGGGCCUCGGUUGGUCAAAGUUGUCCCCUACUUUGACCAGGAGAUCAAUCUUCUGAUAUCUCUCUGGUUUGUCUGUUUCCACCGAGUGACCCGGUGGUUCUCUCCGAGUACUUCGGCUUCCUCCACCAUAAUAACAGACUUCCCGGUGUCCUACACGCUCCCUUGGGCGGUGUUGGGUGGGGAUUGUUCUGGUGGUGGGAUAAUAUUGUAAAGGACACAUCUCCAUUAAUCUUUAGGGAGUGUACAUGGAUCCGCUGUACCCUUGCAGUCAAUCAAGGGGUGCGUCUACAUUGGCGGAAUCUCGAGUACAUACAUACAUUG
This 490-nucleotide long non-coding RNA is filed under the name Mytilus galloprovincialis (Mediterranean mussel). Lineage: Eukaryota; Metazoa; Mollusca; Bivalvia; Mytilida; Mytilidae. The record is from RNAcentral.